AUUGAACGCUGGUGGCAUGCUCAACACAUGCAAGUCGAACGGCAGCACAGUGUGUAGCAAUACACAUGGGUGGCGAGUGGCGGACGGGUGAGUAACGCGUAGGAAUCUGCCUUGAAGCGGGGGACAACCCGAGGAAACUCGGGCUAAUACCGCAUAAUAUCGAGAGAUUAAAGCUGGGGCAACCUGGCACUUCAAGAGGAGCCUGCGUCCGAUUAGCUAGUUGGUAGGGUAAAAGCCUACCAAGGCGAUGAUCGGUAGCUGGUCUGAGAGGAUGAUCAGCCACACUGGGACUGAGACACGGCCCAGACUCCUACGGGAGGCAGCAGUGGGGAAUAUUGGACAGUGGGGGCAACCCUGAUCCAGCAAUGCCGCGUGUGUGAAGACGGCCUUCGGGUUGUAAAGCACUUUUGGCAGGGAGGAAGGUGUAGAGUUUAAGAGACACUACAUUUGACUGUACCUGCAGAAUAAGCACCGGCUAACUCUGUGCCAGCCGCCGCGGUAA
This 502-nucleotide ribosomal RNA is filed under the name uncultured bacterium. RNAcentral describes it as "partial 16S ribosomal RNA". It matches the Rfam family "Bacterial small subunit ribosomal RNA", at positions 30 to 523 of the family's 1533-position model. The record is from RNAcentral.